This 248-nucleotide ribosomal RNA is filed under the name uncultured bacterium. RNAcentral's name for it is "partial 16S ribosomal RNA". It matches the Rfam family "Bacterial small subunit ribosomal RNA", at positions 15 to 253 of the family's 1533-position model. The record is from RNAcentral.
GAUCCUGGCUCAGGAUGAACGCUAGCUACAGGCUUAACACAUGCAAGUCGAGGGGCAGCAUUCCAGUUUGCUUGCAAGCCGGAGAUGGCGACCGGCGCACGGGUGAGUAACACGUAUCCAACCUGCCGAUAACUCGGGGAUAGCCUUUCGAAAGAAAGAUUAAUACCCGAUGGCAUAAUAGAACCGCAUGGUUUGAUUAUUAAAGAAUUUCGGUUAUCGAUGGGGAUGCGUUCCAUUAGGCAGUUGGG